RNAcentral lists this transfer RNA (89 nucleotides) under Bacteroidota bacterium. Its description in RNAcentral is "Bacteroidetes bacterium (hot springs metagenome) tRNA-Ser". It matches the Rfam family "tRNA". From Rfam's summary of the family: Transfer RNA (tRNA) molecules are approximately 80 nucleotides in length. The record is from RNAcentral. Lineage: Bacteria; Pseudomonadati; Bacteroidota.
GGAGAGAUGCCCGAGAGGCCGAAGGGGGCACCCUGCUAAGGUGUUUUACCCGUUUUAGGGUAACGCGGGUUCGAAUCCCGCUCUCUCCG